This 429-nucleotide ribosomal RNA is filed under the name uncultured bacterium. Its description in RNAcentral is "bacterial SSU rRNA". It matches the Rfam family "Bacterial small subunit ribosomal RNA", at positions 355 to 796 of the family's 1533-position model. The record is from RNAcentral.
UCGAGGAUCUUCGGCAAUGGGCGCAAGCCUGACCGAGCGACGCCGCGUGUGCGAUGAAGGCCUUCGGGUUGUAAAGCACUGUCGAGGGGAAGGAAGGGAAACUUGACCGACCCCUGGAGGAAGCACGGGCUAAGUUCGUGCCAGCAGCCGCGGUAAGACGAACCGUGCGAACGUUAUUCGGAUUCACUGGGCUUAAAGGGCGCGUAGGCGGUGGACCCAGUCCGGGGUGAAAUCUUUCGGCUCAACCGGAAAAGUGCCUCGGAUACUGGUUCACUCGAGGGAGGUAGGGGCAUGUGGAACUUCCGGUGGAGCGGUGAAAUGCGUUGAUAUCGGAAGGAACGCCGGUGGCGAAAGCGACGUGCUGGCCCUCUUCUGACGCUGAGGCGCGAAAGCCAGGGGAGCAAACGGGAUUAGAUACCCCUGUAGUCC